RNAcentral lists this unclassified non-coding RNA (796 nucleotides) under Hevea brasiliensis (rubber tree). The record is from RNAcentral. Lineage: Eukaryota; Viridiplantae; Streptophyta; Magnoliopsida; Malpighiales; Euphorbiaceae.
UUUUUUUUUUUUUUAUUUUAUUUAUUUUUUAUUGAGAAAUCCUAUUAUUUAAUAGUUGUAAAGAGUCAAACAAGACAUAGCUCAUUUCAUGGAUGUUUAAGCUUUGAGCUUACAUGUGUUGGGUUCUGUUUAUAGUUCUUCAGGAUUAUUGUUUGAUAUUUUUUAGAUGUUCCUUUUAACAAAUCUAAAUCUAAUUUUUGUUCAAGCAUUGUUGAUUAUGGUCAAGGUUCUAAUAAUUGCCCAACUGAUGGUGGUGGUGGCCUUUAUGCCAAAGUGUUGGUUGUGGCACUUGAUUAGAAUUACUGAUGGUGGCCUUUCACACCAAUUAAUAAUUAUAAUUUCCAUACACGAGUUAUUCUUAGAGCCACUUUUGUCUCUAUAUGGUGGUGCUUGUAUGUUUCCCAGUAGAUAUCUUGAGCUGGAUCUAGUUCAAGAGAUGUUGGUACCCAGGUGAAUACUAUUGUGCUAAGGAAAUGAUGGGAGCUGGGUCUAGUUUCCCACUUCAUGGGACAGGUUUAUGUGCUUAUAAAUUUCGUUAGUUAGGUUGUGUCCACGAUACAUGACAAAUUAUAAGUUGAAAAUCACCUAGCAAAUGUCAAUUAUAUUUAUGUUGACCUAUGGAUGGCUGAAUGUUCAAUGGCUUAUUCAAUAGGGCAUGCCUCAUUCAUUUUGGAAUGGAGUGUCCACAAAAAUAGCUCUUGUGAUGUUUGAAAUAUUUUAUUAUUCCUUUUUCCCCAUUUGUUUGACUAAUAUUUCUUUAUCAUUAACAGGUUUUAAGCAUGAGUAGAUUGGGCGG